RNAcentral lists this non-coding RNA (96 nucleotides) under unclassified sequences. RNAcentral describes it as "malK-III RNA". It matches the Rfam family "malK-III RNA". The record is from RNAcentral.
AGAGUCGGCACCUCGUAUGGGAUCCGUCCGCGCCGCCUGGCGGCCGUGAUGCAAGGGUCCGCGAUGACCCGGCAGGGCUGGAGGAGACCGCACAUG